Non-coding RNA from Vicugna pacos (alpaca), 112 nucleotides. Lineage: Eukaryota; Metazoa; Chordata; Mammalia; Artiodactyla; Camelidae. The record is from RefSeq and is a predicted model, not a curated record.
UGCCAACUCCAAUACCUACAUAUAUAUGGGGAGGUAUAAGCUCCAAAUCAGUUUUACAGUGGAAACUGUAGGAACUUCAAACCUGCACUUCGAAACAGACUGAGAAAUCAGA